Non-coding RNA from Podarcis lilfordi (Lilford's wall lizard), 100 nucleotides. NCBI's taxonomy places the organism in Eukaryota, Metazoa, Chordata, Lepidosauria, Squamata, Lacertidae. The record is from the annotation of a GenBank genome assembly.
UGUCCAGUAGCACUUUAGAGACCAACUAAGUUUGUUCUUGGUAUAAGCUUUUGUGUGCAGGCACACAAAACUUAGUUGGUCUCUUAGGUGCUACUGGACA